GCCUGGCUGGCUCUGUCGGUAGAGCACAAAACUCUUGAUCUUAGGGUCCUGGGUUCAAGCCCCAUGCUGGGCA
RNAcentral lists this transfer RNA (73 nucleotides) under Mustela putorius furo (domestic ferret). It matches the Rfam family "tRNA". Rfam says of the family: Transfer RNA (tRNA) molecules are approximately 80 nucleotides in length. Their secondary structure includes four short double-helical elements and three loops (D, anti-codon, and T loops). Further hydrogen bonds mediate the characteristic L-shaped molecular structure. tRNAs have two regions of fundamental functional importance: the anti-codon, which is responsible for specific mRNA codon recognition, and the 3' end, to which the tRNAs corresponding amino acid is attached (by aminoacyl-tRNA synthetases). tRNAs cope with the degeneracy of the genetic code in two manners: having more than one tRNA (with a specific anti-codon) for a particular amino acid; and 'wobble' base-pairing, i.e. permitting non-standard base-pairing at the 3rd anti-codon position. Lineage: Eukaryota; Metazoa; Chordata; Mammalia; Carnivora; Mustelidae. The record is from Rfam by way of RNAcentral.